This 492-nucleotide ribosomal RNA is filed under the name uncultured bacterium. RNAcentral's name for it is "partial 16S ribosomal RNA". It matches the Rfam family "Bacterial small subunit ribosomal RNA", at positions 29 to 507 of the family's 1533-position model. The record is from RNAcentral.
AGUGAACGCUGGCGGUAGGCCUAACACAUGCAAGUCGAACGGCAGCACAGUAAGAGCUUGCUCUUACGGGUGGCGAGUGGCGGACGGGUGAGGAAUACAUCGGAAUCUACUUUUUCGUGGGGGAUAACGUAGGGAAACUUACGCUAAUACCGCAUACGACCUACGGGUGAAAGCAGGGGAUCUUCGGACCUUGCGCGAUUGUAUGAGCCGAUGUCGGAUUAGCUAGUUGGCGGGGUAAGGGCCCACCAAGGCGACGAUCCGUAGCUGGUCUGAGAGGAUGAUCAGCCACACUGGAACUGAGACACGGUCCAGACUCCUACGGGAGGCAGCAGUGGGGAAUAUUGGACAAUGGGCGCAAGCCUGAUCCAGCCAUACCGCGUGGGUGAAGAAGGCCUUCGGGUUGUAAAGCCCUUUUGUUGGGAAAGAAAAGCAGCAGGUUAAUACCCCGCUGUUCUGACGGUACCCAAAGAAUAAGCACCGGCUAACUUCGUG